UACAGAGGAUGCAAGCGUUAUCCGGAAUGAUUGGGCGUAAAGCGUCUGUAGGUGGCUUUUUAAGUCCGCCGUCAAAUCCCAAAGCUUAACUUUGGAACUGCGUCGGAUACUGGAUGGCUUGAAUUCGGGAGAGGGAUGCAGAAUUCCAGGUGUAGCGGUGAAAUGCGUAGAUAUCUGGAGGAAUACCGGUGGCGAAGGCGGCAUCCUGGACCGACAUUGACGCUGAUGAGCGAAAGCUAGGGGAGCAAACGGG
RNAcentral lists this ribosomal RNA (253 nucleotides) under uncultured bacterium. RNAcentral's name for it is "partial 16S ribosomal RNA". It matches the Rfam family "Bacterial small subunit ribosomal RNA", at positions 524 to 776 of the family's 1533-position model. The record is from RNAcentral.